UUUAACGGCCGCGGUAUCCUGACCGUGCAAAGGUAGCGCAAUCACUAGCCUUUUAAUUGAAGGCCCGUAUGAAUGGCUAGACGAGGGCUCAGCUGUCUCCUUACCCCAGUCAAUGAAACUGAUCUCCCCGUGCAGAAACGGGGAUACCCACACAAGACGAGAAGACCCUAUGAAGCUUUAGACACCCUAAACCCGAGCUAUUGCCCUUUUCCCACACAAAAACGCACCGCUUGCCACUUUCAAAGUGUCUUUGGUUGGGGCGACCUAGGAGGAAAGCAUAGCCUCCUUGUGACAAGGGGCAAAACCCCUACCCCUUAGAGCUACCCCUCCAAGCAGCGGAACCCUGACCUUAUAGACCCGGCACUGCCGAUCAACGAAACGAGUUACUCUAGGGAUAACAGCGCAAUCCCCUCUUAGAGUUCUUAUUGAGGAGGGGGUUUACGACCUCGAUGUUGGAUCAGGACAUCCUAAUGGUGCAGCCGCUAUUAA
RNAcentral lists this ribosomal RNA (489 nucleotides) under Cyclothone atraria (deep-water bristlemouth). Its description in RNAcentral is "partial 16S rRNA". It matches the Rfam family "Bacterial large subunit ribosomal RNA", at positions 1923 to 2568 of the family's 2925-position model. The record is from RNAcentral. Lineage: Eukaryota; Metazoa; Chordata; Actinopteri; Stomiiformes; Gonostomatidae.